GAUGAACGCUGGCGGCGUGCCUAAUACAUGCAAGUCGAGCGAACGGACGAGAAGCUUGCUUCUCUGAUGUUAGCGGCGGACGGGUGAGUAACGCGUGGAUAACCUACCUAUAAGACUGGGAUAACUUCGGGAAACCGGAGCUAAUACCGGAUAAUAUUUUGAACCGCAUGGUUCAAAAGUGAAAGGCGGUCUUGCUGUCACUUAUAGAUGGAUCCGCGCUGCAUUAGCUAGUUGGUAAGGUAACGGCUUACCAAGGCAACGAUGCAUAGCCGACCUGAGAGGGUGAUCAGCCACACUGGAACUGAGACACGGUCCAGACUCCUACGGGAGGCAGCAGUAGGGAAUCUUCCGCAAAGGGCGAAAGCCUGACGGAGCAACGCCGCGUGAGUGAUGAAGGUCUUCGGAUCGUAAAACUCUGUUAUUAGGGAAGAACAUAUGUGUAAGUAACUGUGCACAUCUUGACGGUACCUAAUCAGAAAGCCACGGCUAACUACGUG
RNAcentral lists this ribosomal RNA (497 nucleotides) under uncultured bacterium. Its description in RNAcentral is "partial 16S ribosomal RNA". It matches the Rfam family "Bacterial small subunit ribosomal RNA", at positions 28 to 507 of the family's 1533-position model. The record is from RNAcentral.